RNAcentral lists this ribosomal RNA (688 nucleotides) under Salmonella enterica. RNAcentral's name for it is "partial 23S ribosomal RNA". It matches the Rfam family "Bacterial large subunit ribosomal RNA", at positions 161 to 888 of the family's 2925-position model. The record is from RNAcentral. Lineage: Bacteria; Pseudomonadati; Pseudomonadota; Gammaproteobacteria; Enterobacterales; Enterobacteriaceae.
AAUCCAUAGGUUAAUGAGGCGAACCGGGGGAACUGAAACAUCUAAGUACCCCGAGGAAAAGAAAUCAACCGAGAUUCCCCCAGUAGCGGCGAGCGAACGGGGAGGAGCCCAGAGCCUGAAUCAGCAUGUGUGUUAGUGGAAGCGUCUGGAAAGGCGCGCGAUACAGGGUGACAGCCCCGUACACAAAAGCGCAUGUGCUGUGAGCUCGAUGAGUAGGGCGGGACACGUGGUAUCCUGUCUGAAUAUGGGGGGACCAUCCUCCAAGGCUAAAUACUCCUGACUGACCGAUAGUGAACCAGUACCGUGAGGGAAAGGCGAAAAGAACCCCGGCGAGGGGAGUGAAAAAGAACCUGAAACCGUGUACGUACAAGCAGUGGGAGCACAGGUUUACCUGUGUGACUGCGUACCUUUUGUAUAAUGGGUCAGCGACUUAUAUUCUGUAGCAAGGUUAACCGCAUAGGGGAGCCGGAGGGAAACCGAGUCUUAAUUGGGCGUUAAGUUGCAGGGUAUAGACCCGAAACCCGGUGAUCUAGCCAUGGGCAGGUUGAAGGUUGGGUAACACUAACUGGAGGACCGAACCGACUAAUGUUGAAAAAUUAGCGGAUGACCUGUGGCUGGGGGUGAAAGGCCAAUCAAACCGGGAGAUAGCUGGUUCUCCCCGAAAGCUAUUUAGGUAGCGCCUCGUGAA